AGUCGAAUGGGUUUAGACCCAUGGCAGACGAGGUAGUAACGAGUAGGAACGUCCCCGGAAGUCGGGCAUAACCAGUCGAAAGAUUGGAUAAUUCCCGAUGGUCUCGCGAGAGUAAAGAUUUAUCGCUUCCGGAGCGGCCUGCUUUGUAUCACGCUAGUUGGUUAGGUAAUGGCUGACCAAGGCUAUGACGCAUAGGGGACCUGAGAGGGUGACCCCCACCGAUGAAACUGAGACACGGUUCAUACCCCUACGGGGGGCUGCAGCCGAGAAUAUUCGACAAUGGGCGAAAGCCUGAUCGAGCGAUACCGCGUGGUGGAUGAAGUGCUUCGGCACGUAAACACCUUUUAUGGAGGAGGAAGUAAUUGACGUUACUCCAUGAAUAAGGGGCUCCUAACUCUGUGCCAGCAGGAGCGGUAAUACAGAGGCCCCAAGCAUUACCCGGAAUCACUGGGCGUAAAGCGUGUGUAGGUGGUCAUAUUAGUCUCCCGUUAAAACCCUCGGCUCAACCGGGGAGGUGCGGGAGAAACGGUAUGACUAGAAGGCGUCAGAGGUACAUGGAACUCUAAGUGUAGGGGUGAAAUCCGUUGAUAUUUAGGGGAACACCGAAAGCGAAGGCAAUGUACUGGGGCGUUCUUGACACUGAAACACGAAAGCGUGGGUAGCGAACGGGAUUAGAUACCCCGGUAGUCCACGCCCUAAACUAUGUCAACUGGCUUUUCGGAGUAUCGACCCUCUGGGAGGCGAAGCUAACGCGUUAAGUUGACCGCCUGGGUAGUACGGCCGCAAGGCUAAAACUCAAAGGAAUAGAC
This 809-nucleotide ribosomal RNA is filed under the name uncultured bacterium. Its description in RNAcentral is "bacterial SSU rRNA". It matches the Rfam family "Bacterial small subunit ribosomal RNA", at positions 60 to 914 of the family's 1533-position model. The record is from RNAcentral.